GAAGUCCCACAACUCGGACUUGUUACAUGAUUGGUUGAAGCUGCUACCUAAGCCAACACACCACUGUUCUAAGGAAUUGUCUCCUAAUUCUUCCAGGUUCCAAAACUCUGCUUCUUCUUUUGGAGUGAAGUAUUUAUCUGUUUCUUCUGCUGUAUCAUCAUCCUGAUCUUCCUUUAUCCUCUUGUGGUCAAUUCUUGCAUUUGAGCAACCCGGACUAUCUUUCAACUCUAACUCUGUUCCUCCAUUUUCUGAGCUUGUGUACAAUUCAUUGUCUUUCAAAUCUUCGCUUCUGCUGCCUCUAGCAACAUUGUUUUCUAGCUGAUCAUUUAAUAGCUCCAACUGUGUGUAAAAAAAAAACAAUCUUUAUUAGCUUCUAUAAGUUGGCUUUCACUGUUAGAAAAGAGGAUAAUGAAAAAGAAUACCUGAAUGAGCAGUCUCUCCUUUUCUGUUUUCAAGGACUGAAAUUGCAUGUUUAAAUGGUCAAAUUUUGCUUUGAGUACUAUAUAUUCGUUCUCUAAUUGCUUUGUUUUCCAUCUAGCCCUUUUAUUCUGAAACCAAAUAGCUACUUGACGCGGCUGCAGCCCAAGAUCUCUUGCCAACUGUAGCUUCUUUCUUGGCUCAAGCUUUGUCUCCAGUCUAAACAUGGACUCAAGCAACUUGACUUGUUCAUCAGUAAACCUUUUACCAUUUUCACUACUCUUCUUCUUUAAGGAGUUGGAACUCUUUGAUAUUUUCAGUUCUUGAGAUUCUUCUGGUUCCAUUACUUUGUUGAGUUCCAAGUCAGAGAAAGUUGUUCUGUUGUCAAUUGUGUAUUCAACUGGAUAUAUGGAAAAUAUUAUAUUAGCAGGGCAGCUAUAUAUGUUAAAACUUUUUGUAUAUGUGUCUUGAUCUAAUAUAUAGUCACCUAUAUGAGAAGUAUCUCCUGUGGUUGCUUUCAGGUGAUUGGGACUUUUGGUUUGCUGGUUGAUUCAAGCCUAUUGUCUAAGCUGUCGUGUAUGCUUUUCCAACCUCUCUCUUCUGGGUAUUUUGUUGAUAUCUUUUUAAUUCUCAAAACAAGGAUACCUUCUAUCUCUAGAGUGCUUUUAACUUUCCAGAAUUUUGUUUUUCUAUUCAAAGUGAGCAACUUAUUGUCUUAAGUUGUCUUUCCCCCUCAGCCUUUGGCAAUUCCUUUAUGUAUGAAUGUAUACGGUCAAAAUCAGAGACCUUCGAUUUACAGGCUCGAAAGUCCAUCCUAGGCCCAAGUCCGGGAUGGUCGAAUUCGAGCCCGAUGGAUCGAAUUCAAGCUCGAAGACAGAGUGCCAUGCUCAAGAGAUAGGAGCACGAGGAGUGUCAGGGCUAACUAUGCUCGACCCCAAAAUAGUACCGUUAUGUAUUUACAACGGAAUGAGCUAGAUUCUCGUCAUGUCCCUAAAAUCAUAGUGUAAUCUCAGAAUAAGAUCGUACAAUUCCGUACUAGGCGGUUAGACAGUUGUACCAAGAAUAUUC
RNAcentral lists this long non-coding RNA (1485 nucleotides) under Nicotiana benthamiana. RNAcentral's name for it is "long non-coding RNA (NBEN_LNC012912)". Lineage: Eukaryota; Viridiplantae; Streptophyta; Magnoliopsida; Solanales; Solanaceae. The record is from RNAcentral.